AGAAGAAAACAGGGUUCUGUUGAAUUUCAAGUAUUCAGUUUCAUCAAUAAGAUACGGAGACUUGCUUCACAUUUAGAAUUGCACAAAAAAGACUUUUUAUCGGAGAGAGGUCUACGGAAGACUUUUGGGAAGAACUGA
RNAcentral lists this ribosomal RNA (138 nucleotides) under Triticum aestivum (bread wheat). RNAcentral's name for it is "partial small subunit ribosomal RNA". Lineage: Eukaryota; Viridiplantae; Streptophyta; Magnoliopsida; Poales; Poaceae. The record is from RNAcentral.